AAAAAAACAGAGCUCCUUCGCGACGAGAAGUCGCCGCCGGAAUCGAGAGGCCAAGGCCGUAGUUUGAGAGUUUAAAGGAAAAUUACUCCCGACGUUGAUUAGUCUCCGGAGGAUACUUUGUGAUAUUUUGUUGAUUCAUAGGUAGACUGUGAAGACUUGCAAAAGAUAGCCUUUUGACUUCUUUGUUCACUGUUACACGAUGAAUGACGCUCUUGUAUAUGCCGUUGCUCAUCACCUCUACCUGAUCUCCCAGCUGAACUAUCAAAGCUCCUUCUAUAUACGGCACACAAACCCAGUUUUUGUUGCAGUCCAUUAUCUGGAGUCCCUUGCUACUCUGAAGUAAGAUGGUCAGUGAGCUGAAGUCUGAGUGUGGUGGCAUUCCCAAGGCCAUUUCAGGUUCCGGGCAUGCUGGAUAACAAUUCACUGCCAUGACUUGUGAGCCUUCUUCUAUCUCUUCUUGUAAGUAAUUUUUCUCCAGUCCCAGGCUUUCUGAGAUAGCUUCUAUUAACUGCUUGUGUAGCAAAUGUGUUGCCUCUGCAUACUUGCCCACUUUAUCCCUGAAAGGUAGGUGUGAAUCAGAAAAUAAUAUCAGUUUUCACUCAAAGCUUUGUUACAACUUUUUAAAAAAGAGAGCUAGGUUUUGUAUAUAUUGAGACAGUGAAGCUGGCCUAAAAAUGUUUUACUUACUUGUAGCAUGGAGGAUUUGAUGGCCACAUAUCGAUCCACUUUGAGAGUGGAUGAGAGUAAUGCUUGAUGAAAUCUCUCCAGUAGUGAACUCUGUCUGUUGAAUGGUUAAGGCUUGUGCCAUACCUGACUGGCUCAUGAACGUUUGCAGACACCAGAAGCAUCUUCUCUUCCACAGGCCAUGCUAAUCUCGUGGAUUGCGAGGGAUCGAAGGAAAGGUUGGUGCAAAAGAGAGAGAUCAAUGACAGGAAGUGUAGUCUCGCUGGUGCCUAAGCUUGAACCAAGAGCUGGCCUUUGCGAAGGAGGAAGAACGUAGCGAUCAGGGACUUGAGGCACACCUGAAUUGGGGCAAAACUGUCUUUUCAUCAGAUCAGACUGGAUGAAUAUCGGUCGAGAUUCAUGGACCAGCACUGAAUAAGGAU
Molecule: long non-coding RNA, 1106 nt
Filed under: Arabidopsis thaliana (thale cress)
Lineage: Eukaryota; Viridiplantae; Streptophyta; Magnoliopsida; Brassicales; Brassicaceae
Description: ncRNA (AT2G44798)
Source: RNAcentral